RNAcentral lists this ribosomal RNA (220 nucleotides) under uncultured Glomus. Its description in RNAcentral is "partial small subunit ribosomal RNA". It matches the Rfam family "Eukaryotic small subunit ribosomal RNA", at positions 591 to 815 of the family's 1831-position model. Lineage: Eukaryota; Fungi; Glomeromycota; Glomeromycetes; Glomerales; Glomeraceae. The record is from RNAcentral.
CCAAUAGCGUAUAUUAAAGUUGUUGCAGUUAAAAAGCUCGUAGUUGAAUUUCGGAAUUAAUAUGCUGGUCGUGCCAUUGGUACGUACUAGUAUUAUUGAUUUCUCCCUUCUGAUGAAUCAUGAUGUCAUUAAUUUGAUGUCAUGGGGAAUCAGGACUGUUACUUUGAAAAAAUUAGAGUGUUUAAAGCAGGCUUCGCGCUUGAAUACAUUAGCAUGGAAU